This is a small nuclear RNA of Gracilinanus agilis (Agile Gracile Mouse Opossum), 104 nucleotides long. The record is from RefSeq and is a predicted model, not a curated record. NCBI's taxonomy places the organism in Eukaryota, Metazoa, Chordata, Mammalia, Didelphimorphia, Didelphidae.
UUUUUCUAAAAAUAAAAAAUUAAUCAUAAAAAAUGAUGCAGAGAAGAUUAGGAUGGUCUCUAGGCUAGGAUGCCACACAGAUUUGUGAAGUGUUCUAUAGUUAU